RNAcentral lists this ribosomal RNA (349 nucleotides) under uncultured eukaryote. RNAcentral's name for it is "SSU rRNA". It matches the Rfam family "Eukaryotic small subunit ribosomal RNA", at positions 594 to 945 of the family's 1831-position model. The record is from RNAcentral.
AUAGCGUAUAUUAAAGUUGUUGCAGUUAAAAAGCUCGUAGUUGAAUUUUGGAUUCUACCAAUUGGUCCAUCUUUUAGAUGAGUACUGGUUGUGUGGGGUCUAUCCGCCUGGUGAUACGUAAUGUCCUUUAUUGGAUGUUGCGGGUAGUCAGGACCUUUACCUUGAAAAAAUUAGAGUGUUUAAAGCAGGCUUAUGCCGGAAUACAUUAGCAUGGAAUAAUAGAAUAGGACGAAGUUGUUUUAUUUUGUUGGUUUCUAGGACAACCGUAAUGAUUAAUAGGGAUAGUUGGGGGCAUUAGUAUUCAAUUGUCAGAGGUGAAAUUCUUGGAUUUAUUGAAGACUAACUACUG